RNAcentral lists this ribosomal RNA (485 nucleotides) under uncultured bacterium. RNAcentral's name for it is "bacterial SSU rRNA". It matches the Rfam family "Bacterial small subunit ribosomal RNA", at positions 28 to 507 of the family's 1533-position model. The record is from RNAcentral.
GAUGAACGCUAGCGGGAGGCUUAACACAUGCAAGUCGAGGGGCAGCAUAGGGUAGCAAUACUCUGAUGGCGACCGGCAAACGGGUGAGUAACGCGUAUGCAACCUACCCUGUACAGGGGGAUAACCCGGAGAAAUUCGGAUUAAUACUCCAUAAUAUUCAUCAAAGGCAUCUUUUAUGAAUUAAAGCUUUUGCGAUCAAUGAUGGGCAUGCGUGACAUUAGUUAGUUGGUGAGGUAACGGCUCACCAAAACGAUGAUGUCUAGGGGUUCUGAGAGGAUUAUCCCCCACACUGGUACUGAGACACGGACCAGACUCCUACGGGAGGCAGCAGUGAGGAAUAUUGGUCAAUGGACGCAAGUCUGAACCAGCCAUGCCGCGUGCAGGAUGACGGCCCUAUGGGUUGUAAACUGCUUUUCCACGGGAAGAACCCUCCGACGUGUCGGAGACUGACGGUACCGUGGGAAUAAGCAUCGGCUAACUCCGUG